RNAcentral lists this ribosomal RNA (470 nucleotides) under uncultured bacterium. Its description in RNAcentral is "SSU rRNA". It matches the Rfam family "Bacterial small subunit ribosomal RNA", at positions 26 to 486 of the family's 1533-position model. The record is from RNAcentral.
AGAUUGAACGCUGGCGGCAGGCCUAACACAUGCAAGUCGAGCGGUAACAGGGAUUAGCUUGCUAAUCUGCUGACGAGCGGCGGACGGGUGAGUAAUGUCUGGGAAACUGCCUGAUGGAGGGGGAUAACUACUGGAAACGGUAGCUAAUACCGCAUAACGUCUUCGGACCAAAGAGGGGGACCUUCGGGCCUCUUGCCAUCAGAUGUGCCCAGAUGGGAUUAGCUAGUAGGUGAGGUAAUGGCUCACCUAGGCGACGAUCCCUAGCUGGUCUGAGAGGAUGACCAGCCACACUGGAACUGAGACACGGUCCAGACUCCUACGGGAGGCAGCAGUGGGGAAUAUUGCACAAUGGGCGCAAGCCUGAUGCAGCCAUGCCGCGUGUAUGAAGAAGGCCUUCGGGUUGUAAGUACUUUCAGCGAGGAGGAAGGCAUUGUGGUUAAUAACCGCAGUGAUUGACGUUACUCGCAGAA